Molecule: ribosomal RNA, 468 nt
Filed under: uncultured bacterium
Lineage: Bacteria
Description: partial 16S ribosomal RNA
Rfam family: Bacterial small subunit ribosomal RNA
Source: RNAcentral
GACGAACGCUGGCGGCGUGCUUAAUACAUGCAAGUCGAACGGACAGGCCCUGCGUUUGUGUGGUGCUCGUUAGGCGAACGGGUGAGUAACACGCGAGUAACCUCCCCUUGACUUUCGGAUAACUCCACGAAACUGGGUCUCAUACCGGAUAUGAUCUCCUGCUCCGUAGUGGGGGUUGGAGAGUUUCGGCGGUGGGGGAUGGACUCGCGGCUUAUCCGCUUGUUGGUGGGGUAGUGGCUUACCAAGGCUUUGACGGGUAGCCGGCCUGAGAGGGUGACCGGCCACAUUGGGACUGAGAUACGGCCCAGACUCCUACGGGAGGCAGCAGUGGGGAAUAUUGCACAAUGGGGGGAAGCCUGAUGCAGCAACGCCGCGUGCGGGAUGACGGCCUUCGGGUUGUAAACCGCUUUCGCCUGUGACGAAGCGUGAGUGACGGUAAUGGGUAAAGAAGCACCGGCUAACUACGUG